RNAcentral lists this ribosomal RNA (498 nucleotides) under uncultured bacterium. Its description in RNAcentral is "partial 16S ribosomal RNA". It matches the Rfam family "Bacterial small subunit ribosomal RNA", at positions 28 to 523 of the family's 1533-position model. The record is from RNAcentral.
GAUGAACGCUAGCGGCAGGCCUAAUACAUGCAAGUCGAGGGAGAAUGUUGGAUUCGUCUGACAUGAAACCGGCGCACGGGUGCGUAACACGUAUGCAACCUACCUUUAACUGGGGUAUAGCUCAGAGAAAUCUGAAUUAAUCCCCCAUAAGACUACGACAUGGCAUCAUGAUGUAGUUAAAGCUCCGGCGGUUAAGGAUGGGCAUGCGGUACAUUAGCUAGUUGGUGAGGUAAUGGCUCACCAAGGCUACGAUGUAUAGGGGGUCUGAGAGGAUGAUCCCCCACACUGGUACUGAGACACGGACCAGACUCCUACGGGAGGCAGCAGUAGGGAAUAUUGGUCAAUGGACGCAAGUCUGAACCAGCCAUGCCGCGUGAAGUAUGAAGGCCCUAUAGGUCGUAAACUUCUUUUAUUAGGGAAGAAAAAACGGGAUGCGUCCUGUACUGACGGUACGUAAUGAAUAAGGAUCGGCUAACUUCGUGCCAGCAGCCGCUGUAA